UGCGUAGGCGGGCCUUUAAGUCAGUGGUGUAAUCCUGCAGCUCAACUGUAGAAUUGCCAUUGAAACUGAAGGUCUUGAAUAUGGACGAGGUAGGCGGAAUGAGUUAUGUAGCGGUGAAAUGCAUAGAUAUAACUCAGAACACCGAUUGCGUAGGCAGCUUACCAGACCAUUAUUGACGCUGAGGCACGAAAGCGUGGGGAGCGAACAGGAUUAGAUACCCUGGUAGUCC
This 229-nucleotide ribosomal RNA is filed under the name uncultured bacterium. RNAcentral's name for it is "partial 16S ribosomal RNA". It matches the Rfam family "Bacterial small subunit ribosomal RNA", at positions 568 to 796 of the family's 1533-position model. The record is from RNAcentral.